AAAACGGAAAAGAAGAGACUCAAGAUGAGAACCCGCCAGACCCACACGCAAGGUUAAGGACGUGUAGACUUACCCUGGGCUUGCUCACACUUGACCCAGAAGCCUGAGAUGUGGCAUUUCUGAAGUGUCCAAUUUAUGAAGUUGAAAACUGGGGCAAGCUCAUCUGUUUGUGCAAUGUUGAUUGCCAACGGUUAAUCACCAAGGGUAAGUGGAAGAAAUCAUUCCUGUUCAUUUGCAAAUGGAAAUCAAAUGAGGACUGUGCCGAAAUGCAUCAGCAUUUUCACUUCCAACUGCAAGGAUUUCAGAAGACAGCUGACCUUGGGCUGCCUGGCAGGCACGGGCCUGGCGCCGAUACUUCUGCUCAGAGUGCCUGUGCUUUUUGGUAAGGCUCAGGACGUUCCCUGCCAUUCCUGCCCGUUUCAAAGGCAGACCCAUUUAGUUUGGAAAGUAGGAAGCAUUUUCAGAUGCUGUGAAUUCAUGUGCACACACCACUGCCACUUCUUGCUUUUUUAUGGCUCCGCAGAGACUUGGGAUGCACUUCACCUUGCUGAAGGGGCUCAGCUAAUUAUGCUGAAAUCCUUCCAAGAGGCGAAGUGAUGUGUUUAUACAUCCUCCUUGCUGAACUGUUGGCCUCAAGAAAUUUUAUAAUAAUAAAGCAUUUCCAUGUUGGGUGCAUGCAUCAAGUCCUGAAGUAAUAGCCCCACGUAUCAGAUGUGUAAUGGAUUUCUCUCCAUGCUGCGGGAUUCAUUACCAUGAUUUAUGGCUGUUUUAAUGUACACAGCCUUCUUAAACAACUUAGAGUUGAUUGUUCUGGAACUAGACUUGGGUCCAAGAUA
RNAcentral lists this long non-coding RNA (836 nucleotides) under Homo sapiens (human). RNAcentral's name for it is "HSALNT0344476". The record is from RNAcentral. Lineage: Eukaryota; Metazoa; Chordata; Mammalia; Primates; Hominidae.